AUCUAAUUGGGAUGCUUGUUGACAUUGAUAAGAAUUAGAGAAUUUAACCCUCAACAUUUAUACACUAUGACAACAUUGAAAAAAGAAAAUCAAUAUGUGAACUGAUUGUCUAGGUUUAUUCUUUUCCUUUGAUUAACAUAGCCUUGGGAGUUCAAAUUAGUCUAUAUGAUGCACUAAUAUUUGGACUACCAAUUUCUAUAAUUU
This 204-nucleotide long non-coding RNA is filed under the name Gossypium barbadense (sea-island cotton). Its description in RNAcentral is "long non-coding RNA (GBAR_LNC012057)". Lineage: Eukaryota; Viridiplantae; Streptophyta; Magnoliopsida; Malvales; Malvaceae. The record is from RNAcentral.